CAAAGGUUAAUUCCGGUGGCGGAUGGGCAUGCGUCGCAUUAGUUAGUUGGCGGUGUAACGGACCACCAAGACGACGAUGCGUAGGGGUUCUGAGAGGAAGGUCCCCCACACUGGUACUGAGACACGGACCAGACUCCUACGGGAGGCAGCAGUGAGGAAUAUUGGUCAAUGGGCGGGAGCCUGAACCAGCCAAGUCGCGUGAGGGAUGACGGCCCUAUGGGUUGUAAACCUCUUUUGCCGGGGAGCAAAGUGCCGCACGUGUGCGGCUUGGAGAGUACCCGGAGAAAAAGCAUCGGCUAACUCCGUGCCAGCAGCCGCGGUAAUACGGAGGAUGCGAGCGUUAUCCGGAUUUAUUGGGUUUAAAGGGUGCGUAGGCGGACGCUUAAGUCAGCGGUAAAAUUGCGGGGCUCAACCUCGUCGAGCCGUUGAAACUGGGUGCCUUGAGUGGGCGAGAAGUACGCGGAAUGCGUGGUGUAGCGGUGAAAUGCAUAGAUAUCACGCAGAACUCCGAUUGCGAAGGCAGCGUACCGGCGCCCAACUGACGCUGAAGCACGAAGGCGUGGGUAUCGAACAGGAUUAGAUACCCUGGUAGUCCACGCAGUAAACGAUGAAUGCUAGUUGUCCGGGGCGAUUGAGUUCUGG
RNAcentral lists this ribosomal RNA (642 nucleotides) under uncultured bacterium. RNAcentral describes it as "bacterial SSU rRNA". It matches the Rfam family "Bacterial small subunit ribosomal RNA", at positions 202 to 842 of the family's 1533-position model. The record is from RNAcentral.